This 468-nucleotide ribosomal RNA is filed under the name uncultured bacterium. RNAcentral describes it as "partial 16S ribosomal RNA". It matches the Rfam family "Bacterial small subunit ribosomal RNA", at positions 28 to 507 of the family's 1533-position model. The record is from RNAcentral.
GACGAACGCUGGCGGCGUGCUUAACACAUGCAAGUCGAACGGAAAGGCCCUGCUUUUGUGGGGUGCUCGAGUGGCGAACGGGUGAGUAACACGUGAGUAACCUGCCCUUGACUUUGGGAUAACUUCAGGAAACUGGGGCUAAUACCGGAUAGGAGCUCCUGCUGCAUGGUGGGGGUUGGAAAGUUUCGGCGGUUGGGGAUGGACUCGCGGCUUAUCAGCUUGUUGGUGGGGUAGUGGCUUACCAAGGCUUUGACGGGUAGCCGGCCUGAGAGGGUGACCGGCCAGAUUGGGACUGAGAUCCUGCCGCGACUCCUCCGGGAGGCAGCAGUGGGGCAUAUUGCACAAUGGGCGGAAGCCUGAUGCAGCAACGCCGCGUGCGGGAUGACGGCCUUCGGGUUGUAAACCGCUUUCGCCUGUGACGAAGCGUGAGUGACGGUAAUGGGUAAAGAAGCACGGGCUAGCUACGUG